RNAcentral lists this ribosomal RNA (325 nucleotides) under uncultured eukaryote. RNAcentral's name for it is "partial 18S ribosomal RNA". It matches the Rfam family "Eukaryotic small subunit ribosomal RNA", at positions 1470 to 1796 of the family's 1831-position model. The record is from RNAcentral.
CCCUUAGAUGUCCUGGGCCGCACGCGCGCUACACUGACACGCCCAUCAAGCUUACAACCUUGGCCGGGAGGCCUGGGUAAUCUUUGAAAACGUGUCGUGAUGGGGAUAGACGGUUGCAAUUUUCCGUCUUAAACGAGGAAUUCCUAGUAAACGCAAGUCAUCAGCUUGCAUUGAUUACGUCCCUGCCCUUUGUACACACCGCCCGUCGCACCUACCGAUUGAGUGAUCCGGUGAAUAAUUCGGACUGCAGUAGUGUUCAGUUCCUGAACGUUGCAGCGGAAAGUUUAGUGAACCUUAUCACUUAGAGGAAGGAGANGUCGUAACA